AUAAUUUUUUAACUCCUAGUAAUGAUCAGCUACUUCAGAGAUGACUCUUUUCUGGCAGAGAUCUCACAUAAAAGAAACAUAAAGUUUGUCAAAAUUUGGUGAUACAAUUGAUCCUGCUUAGUUAGUUAAUCAUUUCUCACUAUCGGAAAAGCUGAAUCACAAUCUUAAAUGUUAAUGCUUCUGGUUGGUGUGCCAACUGGCCAAGCUACGCCCAUAUAACUCUGAAUAAAUCCUAGUUCACAGCCACCUUUGCUCAAAAGGGUCACAUGCUGAAGCUUUGGGGUCAUUCACAGGGAGGUAUGCAGGAAAUCUGGAACCCUGAGAUAAAAUCUUGGAUUGGGAGGGGAUAGAAUAUCUGGGAGGAAAAAGGGAUAGAUAAACAAGCAUUAUGGUUUCCACUGUUUGAAGAGUGAUUUCUUACUAUGGUGAAUUGUCAUAUGGAGCAAGCCUAGAGAAAUGUAAUUUAAAACUUGUCACAAUUUCUUUUUCUCAGCUAGCAAGAGGUUUUAUGGUUAUGUAGGCAGGCACCUAACUGAUUGUGCUUCUAAGAAAUUCCAUGAACAGGAUUGUGAAGUCAGGAUACUGCAGAUAUCAUGCAUCAGCAUUUCAAAGACAAUAUCCCUCCAGAAGGAGCACAGUAUCCCUCCAGAAAGAAGCUUUCUCCUGACAUCAAGAACAAAGUUUUCAUUUUAGCCAGCAAAGAUGUACAUUCUAUUACCACACAACUAUAGGGGAAAACACAUCCCUCUAGAAGCUGGAAAUUGAAGAUGCAGAGGAAUUCCUAGAUGGGACGUACUUGAGACUGUGUCACUUGACUUUCAAGAUUAUUAAAGAAUCACAGUUCUUCAGGAUGCCUGAUUUUGAUGGAAAACUCUUCUGCACUCAUACGAAUUCAUGUAUUGUGGAAAGUGGUUUCAAGCAAAGUUCUAUGGUACAACUUUAAAUUACACUUUUGCUGUGAAGUAACAGCCUCUUUCCUAGAGACUUCUCCCCAAAAAACUCCAUCAUUCUAGGGAAGGACUUUGAAACUGGAGUGAGGAACUUGUCACGCUUAGAAAAGAGAUCUCCAGCCUGCUCCUUUACAGAGUGAGAAAAUCAAGGAAUAUCUAACAACCAUUCAAGAGAAUAAUAGAGAAAACUCAUGGAGCUGCACAACAGUUUUUUUUGCAGCAAGCCUCAUUCUGCAGCAACAGCAGCAAUUCCAGGACCUUCUGGUCCAGAGGCGUGCCAGCCUACACAACAUGCAGAACUUGCUGUCAAUCCAAGCCCUGUACUAUCAAAGCCAGGCUCUGAUGAUGACUCAAAAGCAUAUCUAUCUGCAUUCAGAUAAGUUACUAUGGCAACCUCUCUGGCCUAAAAAGAGAUGGACCACAUUAGUUACUUAGCAGCACCUUUUUGACAGGCGAAACACAAGCUGCUCAUUCCAGAUGAUGGUUUGAUUUAGAAUUAAGUCUGUCUGAGAGCUGCUGUGGAGUUCUCUGAAGUGUUAAUGCUGUAACGCAGAGAGAUCUUCUUUUGGGACUUCAGACUGUGGCGUAUCACUAAAGGGACUGAGCUAUAUGGUGGCUUUGCCUGAGAAACACAAGUUAACAGAACAGUUGACAAUCUUUUUCCUACAUUCUGAAGAGAUACUUUCUGAAGAUCUUCUAAGAUGGGUCUGCUGGGCUAAGAAGGCCACUCUUGCAGAAGAUGUGUAGGAUACAAAGGAUUACUUGAGUUGCUGCUGGCACAAAACAUCUUCUAGAUUGAAGCACAUAUUCAAAGUACAAUUAUUAAACCCCGGAAAAGUGAGAGCUCCCAUGACUGAUAGGAAGUUCUAACAGAAAUGCGUGCAUUCCAAAGGAAAAACUUCAUGGCUACAAGGGCUCUUUAAGUUUUGGAUUAGGGAAUGAAGACUUCCAGAGAGGAAAAUGGACCCCUCUACUCAAUGUAUCAAGACUAAAAAGAGAAAAAGUUGGACACAUUACCCAUGAUCAUAUUCCACUAUCAGGGGAUGUGUGGUUAAAAAACAAACACACAAACAAACAAACAAACAAAUAAAUAAAGUGCACACAUAGUCUGAAGCAGGAGAAAAAUAUGGAGCCAGGACAAUAACAUACCGAGCAACUUCUAUGGACUUGGGAAGUACUUAGCUCCCUAACUAGGAAAACUUUUUCACCCCAGAAAUGGUGGAAAUAGUCUUACUUAAAGAGUGUUCAGAAGGCCACAUAGAUGUCACACAGCUAUACUGUUUUAAGUCUAUGGCAGAACGCUUGAUUGAAUAACUAAAAUGCUAUCUUAAAAUACUAGUUGCUUGAGUAAUGAAGCCCUGGUAAUCCACAGAAAGUGAGGAAGGUUUUGAAAUUAUAUGUUGCUUCCAACAUCUGCGAACCAAGAUAGGUAAAUCUGGCGUCAGACCAGACUGUGCCCAUAAUCGGAGGCAAACAAAUGAAGCAACCAAUAAAUAAGCAGAACCAGUGGCUGGAAAAAGCACCCUGUUUAUCACAACAGUAGUCCAUCCACAUCAGUACUGUUUCCUGUACAGCAGUGUCCACUACCAGAAACAACCAUAAAACAAGUAGGCCUAACAGAUCUUUACUAAACUUUACAAACUACAAGCCUCAAAGCAUGAGAGAAAUGUAAUUUUCAGCUUUUCCACUGAUUCAUUGAUCUCCAUUCUAUUUCUUUGAUAAAAGGGAGAGUAAAUAGGGACACAAAUAUUUAUUUAUGACUUUGCAUUCAUGUUUGUGCUAUAUCAUAUGGUUCUUCCCUUGGAUGGUAGUAUGUGGAUUUUUCCCCCUAGUGGUAAUAAGUCAUCAGCCCGGCAAACCCUUUGUUUCUACAGUAUACUUUCUGUGAUAGUCCUGCACCUUCAGGAACUUUUGGAUCCCCUAAGUUCCAAUUGCAACCAUUUCUGCAGUGGUCCUAAGUCUAUUCUGUUGUCAGCAUAGAUGUAAACGCACACCAGAAAAAUAGAGGAAGAAGGGGUUGGGGAUGCCCCAUCCCUGGAGGUGUUCAAGGCUAGGUUGGAUGGGGCCCUGGGCAGUCUGAUCUAGUAUUAGAUGUGGAGGUUGGCGGCCCUGCCUGCGGCACAGGGGUUGGACCUUGAUGAUCCUUUAGGUCCCUUCCAACCAAAGCCAUUCUACAAUUCUGUGAAGACAGGAAGGAUUGUAUUUCUCAGCGUGUUGAAAGGCAGGCAAAAGUACAGGCGGAAUUGUCACCAGAUUUGACUAAGGUACAUUUCUGUCCCAUUAGGAUACUGUGAUUCAGUGUUUCGGGUGUUGCAUAUUGUGUUGCCUUGCACCUACUGAACUAAGAAAACUUCUAUAUCGUGCUUUCUUUUACAUCAAUUCUAUUUCUCAAGUCUGUUGUAAAUUAUUUUUUAUCUCAAAUCUUAUUUCUCCAUACUCUAUGCUUUUCUCCCCUCCCCCCCCCUUUUUUCUUUUUAUGUAGGUUUUUCCUCUUUUUUUUCCCCCUAAAGUGUUUUGCUUAUUGUUGUUCUUUUUGACUUCAAAUAUUCAGCUUUCUGGGGCGUUUGUCUUUUUGGAAGAGAAAACCAACCAGGUAUUCCUUAUGAGCCCACCUUCUUAUUCAUAAGAAAUAUAAUACACACUCCUAUUAUAAAGUGUGACAGUGAAAUCCUAACCUACCUCUUCCAGCUCAGGGUAUUCUGUGAUUCUAUGAACUGCUUGUGAUACUGCAUUCGUAAAGCAAUGAUGAGGUAUUUUGGGGAUGGACUACUUGGCCGCUGCUACCCCUAUCUUUGGCCAUUUAUUGCCACCUUCUCAGCCCCGAGAAAAACGUUAGGGCAGGAAUAAAAGCUAAGGGAACAGGUGUGAGCAACGUGCCCUCAUCACUUCAAGGAGGCUGACCGGGAGUGAAAAAAAAAAAAAAAAA
Molecule: long non-coding RNA, 3876 nt
Organism: Numida meleagris (helmeted guineafowl)
Lineage: Eukaryota; Metazoa; Chordata; Aves; Galliformes; Numididae
Exons: 2
Source: RefSeq, a predicted model, not a curated record